UCUACGGGUGGCAGCAGUCGAGAAUCUUUCACAAUGGGGGAAACCCUGAUGGUGCGACGCCGCGUGGAGGAAUGAAGGUCUUCGGAUUGUAAACCCCUGUCAUGUGGGAGCAAAUUAAAAAGAUAGUACCACAAGAGGUAGAGACGGCUAACUCUGUGCCAGCAGCCGCGGUAAUACAGCGGUCUCAAUCGUUGUUCGGAAUCACUGGGCGUAAAGCGUGCGUAGGCUGUUUCGUAUGUCGGGUGUGAAAGGCGAGGGCUCAACCGUAGGACGGAACUUGAUACUGCGAGACUAGAGUAAUGGAGGGGGAACCGGAAUUCUCGGUGUAGCAGUGAAAUGCGUAGAUAUCGAGAAGAACACUCGUGGCGAAGGCAGGUUCCUAGACAUUAACUGACGCUGAGGCACGAAGGCCAGGGGAGCGAAAGGGAUUAGAUACCCGAGUAGUC
Molecule: ribosomal RNA, 446 nt
Filed under: uncultured bacterium
Lineage: Bacteria
Description: partial 16S ribosomal RNA
Rfam family: Bacterial small subunit ribosomal RNA
Source: RNAcentral